Molecule: RNA transcript, 2397 nt
Organism: Sapajus apella (tufted capuchin)
Lineage: Eukaryota; Metazoa; Chordata; Mammalia; Primates; Cebidae
Gene name: G-rich sequence factor 1 pseudogene
Exons: 3
Source: RefSeq, a predicted model, not a curated record
AUGGUCAUCUCUAGGAGCAAGGGGUAUCCCAACCUUUACAUCAAAAGCAAAGCUUUUGUAGUAACACGUUUCUUGCAAGGUUCAGAGAAGCCUUGGCCAAUGCAGAUUCCUGAUGAAAUACUGCCUUGCCAGGGCUUCCAAGCUUUGUUGGGGAAGGAGCAGAAACAUUCCCAGAGAACUGCCACACCAAGGCAGCGGCAAAACCGCCUCACCGGCCUCAGGAGUCAUGCUGGCGACACGUGGGCCUCCUCCGCUGGGAAUCUCCUGAUAAACAAUGAAGAUGUGGAUGCCUUGAUGAAGAGCCUGCAGGUCAAAUCUUCGCCUAUGGUAAAUGAUGGUGUGGUUCGUUUGAGAGGACUUCCUUAUAGUUGCAACAAGAAAGACAUUGUAGACUUCUUUGCAGGACUGAAUACAGUUGACGUUACUUUUGUGAUGGACUACAGAGGGGGACGAAAGACAGGGGAAGCCUAUGUGCAAAUUGAAGAACCAAAAAUGGCCAACCAAGCCCUGUUGAAACACGGGGAAGAAAUUGGUAAUCGAUACAUCAAGAUAUAUCCAAGCAGAAGGAAUGAAGUUCGAACACAUGUUGGUUCUCAUAAGGGAAAGAAAAUGGCAUCUUCUCCUACUGCUAAGUAUAUAACUGAGCCAGAAAUGGUCUUUGAAGAACACGAAGUAAAUGAGGAUAUUCAACCCAUGACAGCUUUUGAAAGUGAGAAAGAAAUAGAAUUGCCCAAGGAGGUGCCAGAAAAGCUUCCAGAGGCUGCUGAUUUUGGAACUACGCCUUGUCUGCAUUUUGUCCACAGGACCUUUCCGAGCCAAUGCCCAAGACAUUAUAAACUUUUUCGCUGCACUGAAGCCUGUUAGAAUCACCAUGGAAUACAGCUCCAGUGGGACGGCCACUGGAGAAGCUGAUGUGCACUUUGAGACCCAUGAGGAUGCUGUUGCAGUGAUGCUCGAGGAUCGGUCCCACGUUCAUCAUAGGUAUAUUGAACCGUUCCUGAAUUCUUGUCCAAAAGGAAAAUUAGACUUCAGGGGCUCCAGAUAAUAAGAAUGAAGCAAGAAGCAUUUCAUUUGCACAUCUUUCUUGGACAUGGGAUAUACAAUUCCAGUUUAUUAGCAGCAACUGCUGGGGAAUUGAUUUUGGUGUUUUGGGUUAAUUGCUUCUAAGAAAAAUUUCAUAAUGGUCUGCUUAGAAGAAGAAAUGAAAGAUCCAGUUUGGGAUUAUGAAAUAAAUCACAAAUUAAAACUCUUAUUUAAACUGUCCAGGAUCUGAUUUAAAAAUAUGAUCUUUAUUUCAUAUGAUUAAACAGUUUGUUUUCAUAGAUGAUAUGUUAUCCAUUGUAAAGACUAAUAUUUUUAUUUAGCAGUAUUCCUUAAACUCUUUCAUUUAAAAAAUAAUAUUCUUUUUUUUUUUUCCCCUGUGAAUUGAGUGCUCUGAUGUAAAACUUCUCAUGGAGUGAAACAGUGAUUUAUUUUAACCAAACAUUCACCAAAGCAAAGAAAGUUUUCAGACCUUUGAACUGGUAUGGUUUGGCAGAAUAGUUUUAAAUUUUGCUGUAUUUGAUUACUUAGAGAGAUAGGAAUUUUAAAAAAUCAAAACAAAAAAUAAAUAACACACUUUAGCGAGUGUAAAUGACAGUUUGGCAGUUUUAUGUCUUUAGAAAUGUUUUGCCUUUCUAAGCCUGUGUAAAGGUGUUUAAUGUUGGUGCCUAUUUACUUAAGGGACAUUCUAGUCUUUACUUAAAAGUUGUCUGAACUGUCCCUCCCUGGCUUUUUUUGGUUUGGGGUAAACCUAAGGAUGUUUGUUAGUCUCAAAACUGUGAAGUGGCAUGUCAGAACAGUCCAGACUGGUGAGAAAAUUAAUGGCUUCACUUGAAUUUAAACCAGCUCUAGAUAGGAAACAAUCAGUCUCCUCAUUUGCUUUUACAAUGGAGUAGCACAUCCCAUAUUUUAGAACGAGUAGGGGUGCCUUGAUUAAGUAAAAAUAGCAUUUGAUGUAUAAUUGCGUGAAGGGUUUAUGGAUAAAGCUGUACUUCUGUCACAGUGUGGCAGUACAUUCUGCUUUAAUAUUAAACAGCUUGUUAUUUAAAUAUUGGACAAAAUGGCUGGCUUCAAAAUGUAGUCAUUAAUAAACUAAAGCUUUAUGUGCACCUGUGUAGGAGAAUCAAAAUCCUGUGUACUUUCUUUGCCUUGUUCCUGCUCUCAGGGUGACGACUGCCACCAGGAGAUGCAAUUCUAGUUCUUAAAAUAUUUGCCCAGAUUUCUGAGAGGUGAUAUCUGGAAGAGAGACUAUGUCUUCUCUUAUUUAAUACAUAACCAUCUUUGAUUACCAGCUAAGAUGCUAAAUCACUGUACUGUAAGUAGUCAAUAAGUGAAGAUUUUUUUCAGGCUGAAGAU